This 246-nucleotide ribosomal RNA is filed under the name uncultured bacterium. RNAcentral describes it as "partial small subunit ribosomal RNA". It matches the Rfam family "Bacterial small subunit ribosomal RNA", at positions 26 to 286 of the family's 1533-position model. The record is from RNAcentral.
AGAAUCAAUGCUGGCGGCGUGCCUAACACAUGCAAGUCGCACGAGAAAGGGACUUCGGUCCUGAGUAAAGUGGCGCACGGGUGAGUAACACGUGAAUUAUCUACCUCCGAGUGGGGAAUAACUGAGAGAAAUCUUAGCUAAUACCGCAUAACACUUACGAGUCAAAGCAGUAAUGCGCUUGGAGAGGAGUUCGCGGCCGAUUAGUUAGUUGGCGGGGUAAUGGCCCACCAAGACGAUGAUCGGUAU